CACAUCCUGGCAACGGUACUACCCUGGGUUCCGGGCAGGGGUGGAACUGGAUUCUGCCUGGAUGGGGAUCGGAUGGGGGUGGAGGUUUGAUUUGGGAAGCAGAGCACAGCAGCCCAAAUUUGUUGUAAUGGCGGCGGCUACAGACUUGGCAUAUGGCAUAAGACACACAGAGAGAGCCUUGCUGGUGUAGCUGAGAUUUACGACCCUCAUCCAACCAAACCAUUUCAGAUUCUUGGGGCUCAGAGCUCUCAUCGGAAAGACAUCUAUUCUGGGAGCAGGUAUAUCUCUUGCUGAGCAUGUGCUUCCACCCUGGAGGUGUCUUGGGUGAGCAUAGGUACCCUUGUGACUAUGAAGAUUGACAAAAAGUUGACGGCAACGAUGAAUUCUCUUCCAGAACUUACAUCCCAGAAGGCCCUCCCCUACUUCGGGUCUCCCUAGAGAGUGGAGAGACCUGCUGCCCUUGAAGAAGCAAACAGCCAUGUUGUGAGCUGCCUAAGCCUCUAGGUCUUGAGGGAAGCUUACAGUUAAGAGCCAGCAAAA
This 540-nucleotide long non-coding RNA is filed under the name Homo sapiens (human). Its description in RNAcentral is "HSALNT0409101". Lineage: Eukaryota; Metazoa; Chordata; Mammalia; Primates; Hominidae. The record is from RNAcentral.